UCACGCGCUUGGUCCUUACAGAGGCACUUGGCCGACACGCACUUCUACGUGCCGCAGUCGUUGUCCUGCGAUCAGUGCGG
This 80-nucleotide microRNA precursor is filed under the name Dinoponera quadriceps. Its description in RNAcentral is "microRNA dqu-mir-3782 precursor". Lineage: Eukaryota; Metazoa; Arthropoda; Insecta; Hymenoptera; Formicidae. The record is from miRBase by way of RNAcentral.